GCGAGCCACCUCCCACCACGUGUUUACUGUACCUUAGUUGCUUCGGCGGGCCCGCCAUUCAUGGCCGCCGGGGGCUCUCAGCCCCGGGCCCGCGCCCGCCGGAGACACCACGAACUCUGUCUGAUCUAGUGAAGUCUGAGUUGAUUGUAUCGCAAUCAGUUAAAACUUUCAACAAUGGAUCUCUUGGUUCCGGCAUCGAUGAAGAACGCAGCGAAAUGCGAUAACUAGUGUGAAUUGCAGAAUUCCGUGAAUCAUCGAGUCUUUGAACGCACAUUGCGCCCCCUGGUAUUCCGGGGGGCAUGCCUGUCCGAGCGUCAUUGCUGCCCAUCAAGCACGGCUUGUGUGUUGGGUCGUCGUCCCCUCUCCGGGGGGGACGGGCCCCAAAGGCAGCGGCGGCACCGCGUCCGAUCCUCGAGCGUAUGGGGCUUUGUCACCCGCUCUGUAGGCCCGGCCGGCGCUUGCCGAACGCAAAUCAAUCUUUUCCAGGUUGACCUCGGAUCAGGUAGGGAUACCCGCUGAACUUAAGCAUAUCAAUAAGGCGGAGGA
This 546-nucleotide ribosomal RNA is filed under the name Aspergillus flavus. RNAcentral's name for it is "eukaryotic LSU rRNA". The stretch from base 164 to 317 matches the Rfam family "5.8S ribosomal RNA". The record is from RNAcentral. Lineage: Eukaryota; Fungi; Ascomycota; Eurotiomycetes; Eurotiales; Aspergillaceae.